AUGACCUUCAUCAUCAUCUUCAUCUGGACUCUCACAGCGUUUGCUCAAGAGUGUAGAGGACAGAUCACCGUCACUCAGAGUCCCUCAAUGACAGCAGCUCAACCAGGACAAACUGUGAACAUCAACUGUAAAACCAGCAGAGAUGUGUACAGAUGGAGUAGUUAUUAUGAUUGUUUAGCCUGGUACUUACAGAAACCUGGAGAAGCUCCUAAACUCCUGAUAUAUUUAGCAAACCUCCUCCAGUCAGGAACUCCAUCUAGAUUCAGUGGCAGUGGAUCUAACAGUGAUUUCACUCUGACCAUCAGUGGAGUCCAGACUGAAGAUGCUGGACAUUAUUACUGUCAGAGUGUACACUACAUCAACAGUAAAUAUGUGUUCACACAGUGAUAAAGAGUCGUACAAAAACCUCCGUCAGUCAGAGUCACAGUGACUGAACUGAUACUGCAGCUGCUCACACACUUUCACACACUUUCACACACUUUCACACACAGAGAACAAACACAGGAACUACACAUGUGCUCAAAACUGACUUAUGACUGAAAUCAGCUCUAUUAGACUGUGAUCUGUCCUGUGACAGACGGGUUUGAUUCAAAUAUGCUCAGAUUCAGAGAAAACAGAGUGUGUAAAUUAAUAUGAAAUCAAACUAACAUUAAUGGCAUCAUAUGUUGUUUUGUUUUUGUACAUUAAACUACACUAAAGUCAUGGUGUAUCAGUAACAUGCAGAUGUUUUUCAAGCAGCUCCUUCA
Molecule: non-coding RNA, 746 nt
Organism: Megalobrama amblycephala (Wuchang bream)
Lineage: Eukaryota; Metazoa; Chordata; Actinopteri; Cypriniformes; Xenocyprididae
Source: the annotation of a RefSeq genome assembly